UGAAUCCCAUCUGUUUUGUAGGGUUUAGAGGUUGAACUCUUGACAAAGUUGAGCAACUUGAGGAUGGUAAAAAGAUCAUGAGGUUGAUUUUGCACAAAUGAAGGAGAUUGAAGAAGCAAAAUAGAAGUUGAGAGAAGAGACAUUGUAUGAGAGAAUACAAUCAGCAACGGUUAAUUCAUCAUCUGCUGAUAAGAAAUGGAGGGCUUCUAGUUAUCCAAGUCCUACUUACUCUAUGCCAGGUCCAAAUUACAAGUGGCCCAACAAUGGCCCAACAGGCGAACCCGUCCAAGUUAGUUAGGGUUUUCCUAACCCUAAAUCUCUACUGCCCAGCCGUCAGGUGCCUCGACCAUUGGAUCCAGAUAUGAUCCAACGGUCAACAAUAUGAGCCAGAUAGGGUUUUGCUUUUUUCCCUUAGAGCGCCGCAUAUCCUGGAUAAGUCAGAACCUCGCGCGGCUCUCGUAGAAUCCUCGUCCCGGUGGCAACGUGCUCCGGGUUUCUCGGCUUGUGGG
Molecule: long non-coding RNA, 509 nt
Organism: Hibiscus syriacus
Lineage: Eukaryota; Viridiplantae; Streptophyta; Magnoliopsida; Malvales; Malvaceae
Exons: 4
Source: RefSeq, a predicted model, not a curated record